This 1418-nucleotide ribosomal RNA is filed under the name uncultured bacterium. Its description in RNAcentral is "bacterial SSU rRNA". It matches the Rfam family "Bacterial small subunit ribosomal RNA". The record is from RNAcentral.
AGUUUGAUCCUGGCUCAGAUUGAACGCUGGCGGCAGGCCUAACACAUGCAAGUCGAGCGGUAGCACAGAGAGCUUGCUCUCGGGUGACGAGCGGCGGACGGGUGAGUAAUGUCUGGGAAACUGCCUGAUGGAGGGGGAUAACUACUGGAAACGGUAGCUAAUACCGCAUAAUGUCGCAAGACCAAAGUGGGGGACCUUCGGGCCUCAUGCCAUCAGAUGUGCCCAGAUGGGAUUAGCUAGUAGGUGGGGUAACGGCUCACCUAGGCGACGAUCCCUAGCUGGUCUGAGAGGAUGACCAGCCACACUGGAACUGAGACACGGUCCAGACUCCUACGGGAGGCAGCAGUGGGGAAUAUUGCACAAUGGGCGCAAGCCUGAUGCAGCCAUGCCGCGUGUGUGAAGAAGGCCUUCGGGUUGUAAAGCACUUUCAGCGGGGAGGAAGGCGUUAAGGUUAAUAACCUUGGCGAUUGACGUUACCCGCAGAAGAAGCACCGGCUAACUCCGUGCCAGCAGCCGCGGUAAUACGGAGGGUGCAAGCGUUAAUCGGAAUUACUGGGCGUAAAGCGCACGCAGGCGGUCUGUCAAGUCGGAUGUGAAAUCCCCGGGCUCAACCUGGGAACUGCAUUCGAAACUGGCAGGCUAGAGUCUUGUAGAGGGGGGUAGAAUUCCAGGUGUAGCGGUGAAAUGCGUAGAGAUCUGGAGGAAUACCGGUGGCGAAGGCGGCCCCCUGGACAAAGACUGACGCUCAGGUGCGAAAGCGUGGGGAGCAAACAGGAUUAGAUACCCUGGUAGUCCACGCCGUAAACGAUGUCGAUUUGGAGGUUGUGCCCUUGAGGCGUGGCUUCCGGAGCUAACGCGUUAAAUCGACCGCCUGGGGAGUACGGCCGCAAGGUUAAAACUCAAAUGAAUUGACGGGGGCCCGCACAAGCGGUGGAGCAUGUGGUUUAAUUCGAUGCAACGCGAAGAACCUUACCUGGUCUUGACAUCCACAGAACUUUCCAGAGAUGGAUUGGUGCCUUCGGGAACUGUGAGACAGGUGCUGCAUGGCUGUCGUCAGCUCGUGUUGUGAAAUGUUGGGUUAAGUCCCGCAACGAGCGCAACCCUUAUCCUUUGUUGCCAGCGGUCCGGCCGGGAACUCAAAGGAGACUGCCAGUGAUAAACUGGAGGAAGGUGGGGAUGACGUCAAGUCAUCAUGGCCCUUACGACCAGGGCUACACACGUGCUACAAUGGCAUAUACAAAGAGAAGCGACCUCGCGAGAGCAAGCGGACCUCAUAAAGUAUGUCGUAGUCCGGAUUGGAGUCUGCAACUCGACUCCAUGAAGUCGGAAUCGCUAGUAAUCGUAGAUCAGAAUGCUACGGUGAAUACGUUCCCGGGCCUUGUACACACCGCCCGUCACACCAUGGGAGUGGGUUGCAA